GAUGAACGCUGGCGGCGUGCCUAAUACAUGCAAGUCGAGCGAACAGAUGAGGAUCUUGCUCCUCUGACGUUAGCGGCGGACGUGUGAGUAACACGUGUAUAACCUACCUAUAAGACUGGGAUAACUUCGGGAAACCGGAGCUAAUACCGGAUAAUAUCUUGAACCGCAUGGUUCAAUAGUGAAAGACGGUUUUGCUGUCACUUAUAGAUGGAUCCGCGCCGCAUUAGCUAGUUGGUAAGGUAACGGCUUACCAAGGCAAGGAUGCGUAGCCGACGUGAGAGGGUGGUCGGCGACACGGGAACGGGGACACGGUCCAGGGUCCUAAGGGAGGCAGCAGUAGGGAAUCUUCCGCAAUGGGCGAAAGCCUGACGGAGCAACGCCGCGUGAGUGAUGAAGGUCUUCGGAGCGUAAAACUCUGUUAUUAGGGAAGAACAAAUGUGUAAGUAAAUAUGCACGUCUUGACGGUACCUAAUAAGAAAGCCACGGCUAACUACGUG
This 497-nucleotide ribosomal RNA is filed under the name uncultured bacterium. RNAcentral's name for it is "partial 16S ribosomal RNA". It matches the Rfam family "Bacterial small subunit ribosomal RNA", at positions 28 to 507 of the family's 1533-position model. The record is from RNAcentral.